UACGGAGGGGGCUAGCGUUGUUCGGAAUUACUGGGCGUAAAGCGCACGUAGGCGGGUCGUUAAGUCAGGGGUGAAAUCCCGGAGCUCAACUCCGGAACUGCCUUUGAUACUGGCGAUCUUGAGAUCGGAAGAGGUGAGUGGAAUUCCCAGUGUAGAGGUGAAAUUCGUAGAUAUUGGGAAGAACACCAGUGGCGAAGGCGGCUCACUGGUCCGAUACUGACGCUGAGGUGCGAAAGCGUGGGGAGCAAACAGG
RNAcentral lists this ribosomal RNA (253 nucleotides) under uncultured bacterium. Its description in RNAcentral is "partial 16S ribosomal RNA". It matches the Rfam family "Bacterial small subunit ribosomal RNA", at positions 524 to 776 of the family's 1533-position model. The record is from RNAcentral.